This 596-nucleotide ribosomal RNA is filed under the name Trichoderma virens. RNAcentral's name for it is "eukaryotic LSU rRNA". The stretch from base 223 to 376 matches the Rfam family "5.8S ribosomal RNA". The record is from RNAcentral. Lineage: Eukaryota; Fungi; Ascomycota; Sordariomycetes; Hypocreales; Hypocreaceae.
UGAACCUGCGGAGGGAUCAUUACCGAGUUUACAACUCCCAAACCCAAUGUGAACGUUACCAAACUGUUGCCUCGGCGGGAUCUCUGCCCCGGGUGCGUCGCAGCCCCGGACCAAGGCGCCCGCCGGAGGACCAACCAAAACUCUUAUUGUAUACCCCCUCGCGGGUUUUUUACUAUCUGAGCCAUCUCGGCGCCCCUCGUGGGCGUUUCGAAAAUGAAUCAAAACUUUCAACAACGGAUCUCUUGGUUCUGGCAUCGAUGAAGAACGCAGCGAAAUGCGAUAAGUAAUGUGAAUUGCAGAAUUCAGUGAAUCAUCGAAUCUUUGAACGCACAUUGCGCCCGCCAGUAUUCUGGCGGGCAUGCCUGUCCGAGCGUCAUUUCAACCCUCGAACCCCUCCGGGGGGUCGGCGUUGGGGAUCGGCCCUUUACGGGGCCGGCCCCGAAAUACAGUGGCGGUCUCGCCGCAGCCUCUCCUGCGCAGUAGUUUGCACACUCGCAUCGGGAGCGCGGCGCGUCCACAGCCGUUAAACACCCCAAACUUCUGAAAUGUUGACCUCGGAUCAGGUAGGAAUACCCGCUGAACUUAAGCAUAUCAAU